CAGGAGAUGUGGACGCUGUUACCGCAGCCGUACCUUACGGGGACAGACGGGGGGGCGUCAGUACGUCGCAUCCCAGAAACCGAGAUGAUUCCGGUCUCUUGUCCUGGAAGGCUCUCGUGGGGGGUCUCAGCAGCAGAGGCUGUAGCCUGGUGUGAACCCUGGAGAACCUCCAGCAGCUGGCGCUCCGACAGCCCCGCCUGAAAGGCAUCUGAAGCGGAAAAACACGUCAACGGCCACCGGAUGUCGACCCGUCAUCAAAACUAAAAAAGGUAUUUAAAUCAGCAAAUCUUACACUGGUGCUCUCUGGGUAGCCGGAAUUUCCUCAGUAAAAGCCUGGAAUCACACACAUCUUUAAAUCAAUGUAAGGGUUAAAAAUAUUUGUAUCUUUUUGUAAGCAAGUAUAAUUUAGUUUUUAAGUAAUUGCAGACCGCCAACUUCUGCUAACUAGUAGGUUUGCCUGAAAAUAUCUCUUUACCUGGUGUGAACCAACAGAAUAUGAAUAAUUUCAGCGAUUUCAGGAAAAGAAGAAAAAUCAAAAUAUUGGUAGGACUUUACUUGGAAGUCCUACCAAAAUAAAGUCCAUGUUUUACGACAAGGAUGUGUCGUAAAAAUGACACAUCAGGAACACGAAGGGAAUCUUUAUGAAUGUUUAUGAUUGUUUUCAUGAAGUUGCAUUACAUUACAUUAAAAGUGUUAGUUUUUACCAAACGGCAUUUCAUGACAACAGUCAUAAACGUUCAGGAAGACUCCAUCAUGUUCCUUACCGGUCUUUUGUUAUGUUUACGACAGUCUUAAGCACAACCCUUCAAAGUAAAGUGUUACCAAAAUAUGAAAUGCUAGUUUGAAAGUCGCUGGCUCAAAACCUGGAAAACAUUUGAAUGAAAUUGCGGCGCAAACAGUGUGACGGUGAUACCAGCAGAUGUGUUUGCACGGCUGCUGCUCCCUGGCGAACGUCGGACAGGUGCACGUAUGCCGCUCGCCCAAGCACACCUGGACAACAAGAGGACACGAUGGAUCCUAUGUGUCCCCGAAGUCUCUUGAGAGGACCCCGACUGUCCCGAGGCGACCGACCUUAAAGGUGGCCGUCUCUCCGUCCUCCCUGAGCAGGAAGGCGGUCGGGCCGAAGGACCGCAGAAGGAACACGGUGGAGCCGAGGGCUUGGUCCUGAUGGGAGCUCACCGUGUCGCUGGGAACGUUCCUCCAGCCGGUUCGCCUGGACAUCCUGACGCUGAUGGAUGUACACCAGAACAUUAUGGGAAACGGUUAGAACCAAACUGUUUACAAGGAGCGAUAAUGUGUUGCAACAGUUAUGUAGUUAUGUAUAGGAUGGACUAUAGAGACCAGUGUCACUCUUUAUCAUAGAUGGACUAAAGAACCUAUCUGUUUGGUUCUUUUGUUCAGAUUUCUCUGAUCUUUAUGAAAUGCAAGAAUUACAUAUAUGUCAACCUGUAAAACUACCAUCCCUCCCCCCCAAAAAAGAAAAGAUGAAUACUUUUGAAUUACAAAUGUAUUAAUUUUAUUGUAGGGACAUAUCUCAAUCACUUCACCUGUUAAUGCUGUAAUAUUUUGUUUUAUUAACUAUUCCUGCAGAUGAUUGAUAUUUUUCUUGUACCUUUCAUUAAAUAAAAC
Long non-coding RNA from Xiphophorus maculatus (southern platyfish), 1629 nucleotides. RefSeq lists it as uncharacterized. The record is from RefSeq and is a predicted model, not a curated record. NCBI's taxonomy places the organism in Eukaryota, Metazoa, Chordata, Actinopteri, Cyprinodontiformes, Poeciliidae. The transcript has 2 exons.